RNAcentral lists this long non-coding RNA (1506 nucleotides) under Canis lupus familiaris (dog). Its description in RNAcentral is "lncRNA (ENSCAFG00845023940.1)". The record is from RNAcentral. Lineage: Eukaryota; Metazoa; Chordata; Mammalia; Carnivora; Canidae.
AUGGCCUCGGCCGCCCGCGCUCGCGCCCCCCGCCCCCGCCGCAGCCGCCGGCCCUCCGCCGCCCCCCCGCUGCCGUCGCGCUGUCUCUCCGCGCCGCUCCCCGCCCCGCGCUCCGCUCCCCGCCCCGCGCUCCGCUCCCCGCUCCCCGCUCCCCGCUCCCCGCCCCGGCCCCGGGAAGCCCUCGGCCGGCCGGCCGGCCCGGGACCCGCCGCCGCCCGCCGGGCUGCCCCCGGGGUCUCCGUGCGUCUGUCCGUCCGCCCCUCGGUCCCCGAGCCCGCCUCCCGUGUCUCCCGGCGGGGGCUCGGUCUGCUGCCCGCCGCCCUCCCAGAGCCUCCCCUGCCUCCCUCCGCCUCUGCCCUGUCUCGGUCUCCCCUGCGCGUCUCUCUCUGUCCUCCUCCCGGGCGCCGUCUGUCCUUCUGCGUGUCUCUCCCUCCCUCCCACUCUCGGUGCGGCCCCCGCUGUCUCGGACCCAGGCCCGCGCCUCCGCCGCGUCCCCGGCUCGCCCGGGAGCCCGAGCUCCCGCCGCCCGCGGCGCGCCGAGAACUCCCAACUCGCGGCACGCCGCCCCGCUUUGCGAGACUUUCGCCCCUCCUCACACGUGACCCGCGCCCCAGUGCGGAGGCCGCGCGCCCCCCCCCCCGGCCCCCGAGCCCCGGGCCCCGGGCGGCCCGCGGGGCCCGGCCCGGCUCCUUCCCCGCGGCGCAGCGGGGCUUCAAACCCCCUGGGCCCGCCGGGCGCGCGGGGCAGGGCUGGGGGCCGAGGGGCCGUGGGGCCCCGCUCCUGCCGCGGAUCCUGCCCGGGUUUUCCUCCUCCCUCCGGGAGCGCUCCUCCCAGAACCCAUUCCGAGAAUCCGCUCCGGGUUUUGCAACCCCCGGGGGCAGGCAGGCAGCCAGGACUGUGUUCCUUCACAUGAAUCUUUGAUGCGCAUGAACUUAGGCAAUCUGAAUCCUCGGUCAGUGGCAGGUAAGUGCCUGGUCACUGUCACAACUUUCCGUGGAAAUUGGGAGGGUGCAGGAGAAGCAAAUGACCCGUGGUCUCUUCACCUAGCCAGAGGUCUGCCUGCUGGCUGCCCUGGAAAUGUGGGGUGCAGGGCAAGGAGGGAGGGGCAAAGGGGGCGGGGAAUGGAGACUGAGGGGUCUGUAGACCUAGAGCCUCUGCUCCUGUGGGGUCAGUCCUGAUGCUGGGUCACUGGGCACAAGUUCAAGGGAAAGGUAGGAGCUCAGGGACAGAGACUUCUGGAAGAUGGAAGGGGGAAGCCUGGUGGCUGUGACAUCAUAAGCCUGAGAGGAAACAUUUGGUAAUGGUCCCCUCCUCCUGGGGCUGUAGCCUGGGAUCCUCCUGCAAGGAGGGUCUGGUGGAGGCUGGGAGUGACUGGGAGGAGGUGGGAAGAGGCAGAAAAGGCAGCUCCAGCCAGAGAGAGGUUCAGGGACCCCAGGAAAAAGAGUCCCUUCACCUCCCCCCCCACCCCGCUCUGCCCCAAGCCUGAUGUGACUCUGGACAGCUCAC